Molecule: ribosomal RNA, 468 nt
Filed under: uncultured bacterium
Lineage: Bacteria
Description: partial 16S ribosomal RNA
Rfam family: Bacterial small subunit ribosomal RNA
Source: RNAcentral
GACGAACGCUGGCGGCGUGCUUAACACAUGCAAGUCGAACGGUAAGGCCCUGCUUUUGUGGGGUGCUCGAGUGGCGAACGGGUGAGUAACACGUGAGUAACCUGCCCUUGACUUUGGGAUAACUUCAGGAAACUGGGGCUAAUACCGGAUAGGAGCUCCUGCUGCAUGGUGGGGGUUGGAAAGUUUCGGCGGUUGGGGAUGGACUCGCGGCCUAUCAGCUUGUUGGUGGGGUAGUGGCUUACCAAGGCUUUGACGGGUAGCCGGCCUGAGAGGGUGACCGGCCACAUUGGGACUGAGAUACGGCCCAGACUCCUACGGGAGGCAGCAGUGGGGAAUAUUGCACAAUGGGCGGAAGCCUGAUGCAGCAACGCCGCGUGCGGGAUGACGGCCUUCGGGUUGUAAACCGCUUUCGCCUGUGACGAAGCGUGAGUGACGGUAAUGGGCAAAGAAGCACCGGCUAACUACGUG